Molecule: long non-coding RNA, 377 nt
Organism: Astatotilapia calliptera (eastern happy)
Lineage: Eukaryota; Metazoa; Chordata; Actinopteri; Cichliformes; Cichlidae
Source: Ensembl
CAAAUAUCUGUUGGUGCUCCAGACAUUUUCAUUCCGCAAACCAGCCUAUGAAAUGGAUGAAACAUCGUGACUGGGUUCCAGCGCUACACAAGGGACCUGCUGCAAACAUACCACCAUGCCAAUCAGAUUACUUCUUCCAUGUGAGGGUGAAGAGGUGACCCUCCUGGAUAAGAUGGUGAAGGUUUGCUGCGUUUUGGUGAACAGUGUGAUAAUAAAACCAGGGAAGAAUGAAACCUGCUCCUGUUAAAUAUUCUUAAGUCUUGUGCUGUUAAAAUUGCUGUAUUUUUUUCAAAAGAUACAGUAAAUAAAGUUAGUAGUGGGUGAUAUCAUGUAAACACUCAUGAUUUUGUGUAAACAUUUUGUCAUUUGUAAACUAU